Molecule: long non-coding RNA, 768 nt
Organism: Medicago truncatula (barrel medic)
Lineage: Eukaryota; Viridiplantae; Streptophyta; Magnoliopsida; Fabales; Fabaceae
Exons: 3
Source: RefSeq, a predicted model, not a curated record
GAGAACUCGUCCUAUUCAUUUCUUCUUUUCUAAUUUUCUACACUUGUGAUAAUAUCAACAAGUAGAAUUUGAUCUUUGGGUGUGACAUCCAGGCAAGACAAGCUUCCUUUCUGUUGAUGUAGAGUACGUAUGAGGAUGUACCACCAUUGGAAAUAUGAAACGCUAAUUCUUGAGAUGCAUUAAGCGGAGUAAGAUAGUGUAAUGUAAGUUGUUCAAUUUGACGCAUAAACAACAUCUACAAUGGAUGUUUCAUACACAAUGGAACAUUUAAAAGUAAAAUAACAAGAAGUUUAGAUGGUAUCCCAACCAAUCUUAAAUUGCAAUUUGAUCGAUACAUCAAUUGCACACGUCUCUUAAAUCAUCUGCGGUGGAGCACCGACUAUGCUAUAAAGUGAAUCUCAGAGAACUACUAAAAGGAUGGAGCAAUUCGUGAAUGAAACAUAUAUCAUAAUCAAGGUUAAUAAGGACAUAAUUGGAGAUACUCCUGCAAAUUCAUCCAUCUUCAAGUUUAUCGGUUUAUUGGUUUGAGAAGGCUGAUGGAUUUUCAAGAGUAUUUCAAGGCAUGUACUUAAUAUAUCAAGUAAAAAUAUUUGCUACUAGUGUUGUGUAAAUAUCUCCACUGUUUGUGCUUGGAAGUUAAAUGGCACUAAGGACAAUGGUAUUUUUCUAGACAAUUAUUUUUGGGUAAAUUAAUAAUUUACAUUCCUUAAUUAACUAAUUAUCAUCGCUAAAUAGGAAAAAUCCUAAGCGUGUAUCGCUUUAAAAAUG